This is a long non-coding RNA of Ruditapes philippinarum (Manila clam), 1327 nucleotides long. RefSeq lists it as uncharacterized. The transcript is spliced from 3 exons. The record is from RefSeq and is a predicted model, not a curated record. Lineage: Eukaryota; Metazoa; Mollusca; Bivalvia; Venerida; Veneridae.
GUUUUCAUGCUCAUCCGACACAUUCAAAAAUAUGACUGGAAAAAAUCCGGAAAAAUAGGAAAAAAUGUGUUUAUCUCAAAUUACGUGAAAAGUUAACAUUCAGAAAUUAUUAUACCGACAAGACUUUGUGAUGUACCAAGAAUCAAGUUAUAAAGGCACGUUAAGAUGAUUUGAUAUGUUUCCAGUGCUUCAAAACUGUGCGCUAAUUAAACAGUUAUAUAAUGACCGUGCUUAACGAGUCAAUCGAUUUAUCACCGUGCAGUGUCACAUUCUUAUAUUUCAAGAGAACUUCAGUCCUCGGAAAUGGCUUUUUUCUGUUUUCAUCUCCAAUAGUCUUACUCUUAGGAUUUUAAUAUAUUGUGUUACAGGCAUAUUCUUGUACAUUAAGUUGACAGCCAAUAGACAAGACAAUACUUAAUCUGCUUUACAAAAAAUGUUUUCCAAAUUUCUGCCUGAUAAUCCGGAUGAUGAACCACCACUUAAAGUAAGGUGUAUAUCAUGCUAUAAAAGAGAAAGACUUUUAGAUUUUGGAGAUCUUAAAGUGGCAGACCACAUAUGCAUGAGCGGACAGCACAGCGUUUUUAAUAUUUGUGGCCAGCAAUGGUCGGCAUACACUCAUCAUGCGAUUGUUAAAAAAGUUGAUGUCAUUUGUCCGUCAAGUGCGAUAGUGACUAUGAUUCAUUUUUACACAACACCAUUCAGUACUACGAUCAAAAUACGAAAAACUACAAAUUUCUUAGAUUUGCAUUUAAACGAAAUUCAUAUUAUUCGAUACAGGCAUCAGACAAACCAUGCAGAUGUUGUCUUAAAAAGAGCAGAGAAACUUAAAGAAAACACUCGUUUUGUAUCGUAUUCCAUAUCUAAGCGUAACUGUGAAUCUUUUUGUAACUUUUGUUGUAUUGGAAAUGAAAGCAGCUUUCAAGUAGAGAAUGUCAAAGAGCUUUUGUUUGAUAUUUUUUGGCAGCAACUGCUAAAUUAUUUGGACAGUUUAUUUUACCGUAUGGCAUACGGCAAAUUACAUAUGCGCGUUUUGUCUUUGUCACGUGUUCUGAUCAGUGUGCGUAAAUGCUGGUCCAUUAUUGGUAAAUCCUUGGUCAUUUAUCGUGUAAUUAAUGGUAGUUUCAAAGUAGAGCAUGUCAUAGAUAUUUUGCGUGAAUUUUUAUGGAAACAGCUGAACAAUGCCUUGUACAGUUUACUUUACAGGAUCACAGGUCGCAAACUUUCUUUGGACGUUUUGCUACCUGUUCGGAUCAAUUUGCGUCACGCUUGGCCCAUUCUAACUAUUUUCUUCGUCGGUUUUCGCUCCUAUGAGAUAUACAAAUCUAUG